Long non-coding RNA from Panicum virgatum (switchgrass), 726 nucleotides. RefSeq lists it as uncharacterized. The transcript has 3 exons. Lineage: Eukaryota; Viridiplantae; Streptophyta; Magnoliopsida; Poales; Poaceae. The record is from RefSeq and is a predicted model, not a curated record.
CAUACGACAAGAUACAAUCAGGGGCGUCAUCGUCCGGUGUUCCAAAGCUCGGGGCCCAACAGAAACAAUCAAUAGAACCGCUAGUUGUUCUAAACCAGGAACAACAAGGCUUUCUGGGGUUCUUGCAAUCAGCAAAGCUCACUACUGAUCAGAUAACAGGGGCUUCAAAUCAAAAUCUGGAUCCGCUGAAAGAGUAUCCGAUAGCUCCAGUGGUCAAAUGGCACUAUAAGGAGGGCACCAGCCUUGUACCCCCCCAGAUAUUGUGCAGUUGCUUCCAACGCAAAUGCGAAGGCUACAUGAUUUGUACAUAAAGGCGAUGAGAGAAUGCAACUUCAUGCAAGGCGCAAAGAUUGGAGAUGAAGAUUUCUUUCGUGGAGAGGCCAUCAUAUGGAUUGAUUGGGAAGAAGUGUACCAAUUAUACCAUCAGGACGCCCUCGACAUCUCUAUGGUCGCUUUGUGGCUUCUGUAAGAUGGAGAUUCAAACAUGCUAGAAAAAAGGGUAUUACCACAUCAACUUUGUCGACCCACAGGUUGUGAAUUGCAAGAAUCUCCUGAGCAAUCCUGCAGAAACAUUCAAAAACUUGUACAAGUACCUAACCAUUCAACAUUACAAGAGUCUCAUUCUAUUUCCGUACAACUUUGCAGAUCACAGGAUACUAGUUGUCAUAUUUCCGGACUUGAGCUUAGCAGUUGUUAUGGACUCUUUGCGGAGAGAUCCAGACCAAU